Molecule: unclassified non-coding RNA, 485 nt
Filed under: Hevea brasiliensis (rubber tree)
Lineage: Eukaryota; Viridiplantae; Streptophyta; Magnoliopsida; Malpighiales; Euphorbiaceae
Source: RNAcentral
GUUUCUCAGAAAACUAACAACUUUCCCACUUUGGAAUUUUCUUUACCUUACCUAAGAAGGGUAUUAAUUUGAUUCUUGUGGGAAGGAAGAAGGAUCAAGAAUGGCGAUUUCGAUUUCUGCUAUGAGUUUUGGAACCUCAGUUUCUUCAUAUUCUUGUUUUAGAGCUAGGAGUUUUGAGAAGUCAUCAGUUUUAUGCAAUUCCCAGAACCCAUGUCGGUUUAAUUCUGUUUUUCCGAUUCGGAAAUCUGAUGGGGCUUCACGGUGUUCUGUUUCUAGGAAAUCAUGUAGAGUUCGAGCAACGUUGUUACAAGAGAAUGAAGAAGAAGUGGUUGUGGAGAAAUCUUUUGCACCUAAGAGUUUUCCUGAUAACGUGGGAGGGGGAAGUAAUGGGAAGCCACCAGAUGAUUCAUCCUCUAACGGUCUAGAGAAAUGGGUUAUAAAGCUUGAGCAGUCUGUAAAUAUCUUACUCACGGAUUCAGUGAUAA